This is a long non-coding RNA of Oncorhynchus keta (chum salmon), 362 nucleotides long. RefSeq lists it as uncharacterized. The transcript has 3 exons. NCBI's taxonomy places the organism in Eukaryota, Metazoa, Chordata, Actinopteri, Salmoniformes, Salmonidae. The record is from RefSeq and is a predicted model, not a curated record.
CUGCUGCCAGGUAACAGACACACUGCUGCCAGGUUACAGACACACUGCUGCCAGGUAACAGACACACUGCUGCCAGGUAACAGACACACUGCUGCCAGGUAACAGACACACUGCUGCCAGGUAACAGACACACUGCUGCCAGGUAACAGACACACUGCUGCCAGGUAACAGACACACUGCUGCCAGGUAACAGACCCACUGCUGCCAGGUAACAGACACACUGCUGCCAGGUAACAGACACACUGCUGCCAGGUAACAGACACACUGCUGCCAGGUAACAGACACACUGCUGCCAGGUAACAGACACACUGCUGCCAGGUAACAGACACACUGCUGCCAGGUAACAGACACACUGCUGCCAG